RNAcentral lists this long non-coding RNA (2297 nucleotides) under Homo sapiens (human). RNAcentral's name for it is "HSALNT0348947". Lineage: Eukaryota; Metazoa; Chordata; Mammalia; Primates; Hominidae. The record is from RNAcentral.
AUUACAGGCGUGAGCUACCGCGCCCAGCCAGAAGGUAUUAUUAAGACAAUUUCAACAGUAAUUUGCGGAGAAAUAAAAUCAGUAAAGGAAGAAAGAUUGAAAUACAACAGAAACAAGAAAUAAUAAAUGCAGGAAAAUUCUAGAGAAACUAAGAUAGGCUAGAGUCAGAAAUGUAAAUAGAACUUAGUUUUGAUGGAGAACAAAACAGUUGUAAGAGGACAGAAGAUGAUUUGUAAUGUAGAGAAAUUAAGAUUAAAAAUGAUAGCAGUUGGGAAAGUGUGUUAUUGGCUUACAUCACAUUGACUAAGAGUUCUCAGCACUACCUUACAUGUAGGGAAUCUUUAAGAAAACAGUCUACGUAGAACAUAGAACAUAGUCUAUGUUCUACAUAGACUGUUUUCGUCCUUUACCAUGACUCCACUAGCUUUGUCAGAAUCCUUUCUUUAACCAGGGUUCUAGUUAUGUUACCCAUCUUGACAAAGGACCAUCAUUGCCUCUCUUCAAACUUCAUAGCAGCCCUCAUCAUUAAUCUGGACACAGGUCAAACCUGUCCAGGGACCCUCAGCCAGUUCUGGUAAAAGAAGAACAAUGCAGCAAGAGAAUUGAGGAUAUUUUUGAGAAUGGAUUCAACUUCUGGAUAUCACAAACCAAAUUGUGGCACAGAAAGACAAUUCAUAAAUGUCUUCUUCAAAAUGGGCCAAUUAGGCCGAAGUUGAGAAUUUGGGGAAAAGUACAAAAUUGAGAUGAUCAAGAACUAAUUCUAGCUACAUUGCUGAAUGGAAAAACUAAGUAACAUGAAGCAGAUAACCUAUCUGUUGAUAACUGAGACUAAGAAAAUACAAACUAUUGAAAAAGUGAUGUGAUAUGACUUUAACUUAGCAUGAAAUGAAGAGACACCAGAGUAUAUACAGUAAGUCUAUAAUCAGUAAUGUCUCAUUCAUGUAUGUCACCCACCUUUAAGUUUAGCCAAUUAUCAAAAUACAGUUAUAUAACUACUUUUCCAUAUUUUUGUAAGGUAAAUGUAUAAUUACUGAAAGUAAAAAAUAGUCGGAAUGCAACAUAUAGCAACAGUAAAAACAAAAAACAACAAAAGAUAAUUAUUUAGGAUUGAAGCAGAAUAACAAAAAAGAGUGAAAAAAUGCAAAAGAAAAUUAAAUAUAGCAAUAACCAUUAUCAUAUAAUAAACUGGAAGGCACUAAAUUUCAAUCAUAUUUGCUGAAAGACAUUACAAAAGUUACUAGUAAAUUACUGUUGCUAUUACCUCUUAUGUUUCCUUUCACAUUAACCCACAUAAAUAAAAUACUUAUAAAUUUACUCUUUAGUUUUUAAUCAAUUUUAUAAACUAUUUUAUUAUCAACUCUUAGUUAAUUUCAUAGGGAUGAAGGAAGUCACACAUAACUCUAAAUCACUUAGAAACAACAGUCAAGGUGACCAACCAUGGCACAUAAUUCCUAAUUUAUACUAGCUAAGCCUUCCACCACAUUAUUUCUUUACCUAAAGGAUCUCAAAUGUUGUCACUGGCUCAAAUCUCUAAAUCUCCAUACAGCCUUGAGAACUUUUCAGAUUUUAGAGAUCUUCUCUCUCUUUUCUUUCUAAUUAACCCCUCUUUCUAGUUAACCCUUCUUGCUAUUAUAUGCCAGGUAACUGAGAUUUCCCUCCAAUGUAAAUUAUAUUUCCUUAAGGCAUUGUAGCUGUACUAUCUAUGAUUCACUGCAAAUUCCCACUUUGGAAAGAGAAAUGGUGGUAGGGUAGAAAUGAACAAGUGUUUUCUCACAGACUCAGUAUUCUCUGCAGAUAAGGAUUAUCUACUAUGACAAAGGAGUAGAUUACAGCCACCUCUGACAAGGCAACCACAAACAAAUCAGUUCAACCUAAGCACUUCAAGGACAGAUUCCUCUACUCUGGAGGUGGGAAAGUGAGUUUUCAAGACCUAUGCCAUCUAAAUACCUAAUUAUGGACUCUGCUGAGGAAGGUGAGUAGUCAACUGGAGUUAAUUUAAAGAUAAUACUGUUAUUCUAUAUUUGUAGAUAAAUAGAGAGUUAACUGUAAUUCCUGAUGAACUAAAUUUUUAGAAUCACCAAAGAGAUUCUCCUAAUUUACAAAAGGGACACUGUAUUUUUUAUGUCCUACUACAAUUAGUUAAUACGUUUUAUUUCAUGUUAUUUUAUGUGGGUGAUAUUUCUAUAUUUCAUUAACAACCAUAUAUGUAUAUACAUAAAAACAGAAAUAAAAGUGAACUAUAUCAUAUCAAUACACAGGCACAAGCAAUUCCACAAACAGACUCAAUUGUAAGAAAA